This 465-nucleotide ribosomal RNA is filed under the name Vreelandella stevensii. RNAcentral describes it as "partial 16S ribosomal RNA". It matches the Rfam family "Bacterial small subunit ribosomal RNA", at positions 338 to 795 of the family's 1533-position model. The record is from RNAcentral. Lineage: Bacteria; Pseudomonadati; Pseudomonadota; Gammaproteobacteria; Oceanospirillales; Halomonadaceae.
CCUACGGGCGGCAGCAGUGGGGAAUAUUGGACAAUGGGCGAAAGCCUGAUCCAGCCAUGCCGCGUGUGUGAAGAAGGCCUUCGGGUUGUAAAGCACUUUCAGUGGGGAAGAAAGCCUUGGGGCUAAUACCCUCGAGGAAGGACAUCACCCACAGAAGAAGCACCGGCUAACUCCGUGCCAGCAGCCGCGGUAAUACGGAGGGUGCGAGCGUUAAUCGGAAUUACUGGGCGUAAAGCGCGCGUAGGCGGUCUGAUAAGCCGGUUGUGAAAGCCCCGGGCUCAACCUGGGAACGGCAUCCGGAACUGACAGGCUAGAGUGCAGGAGAGGAAGGUAGAAUUCCCGGUGUAGCGGUGAAAUGCGUAGAGAUCGGGAGGAAUACCAGUGGCGAAGGCGGCCUUCUGGACUGACACUGACGCUGAGGUGCGAAAGCGUGGGUAGCAAACAGGAUUAGAUACCCUGGUAGUC